This 720-nucleotide ribosomal RNA is filed under the name uncultured bacterium. RNAcentral's name for it is "bacterial SSU rRNA". It matches the Rfam family "Bacterial small subunit ribosomal RNA", at positions 66 to 784 of the family's 1533-position model. The record is from RNAcentral.
GGGUAGUUCUGCUUUCGGGCGGGACGAGACCGGCGUACGGGUGCGUAACGCGUAUGCAACCUACCUUCAGCAGGGGGAUAGCCCGUGGAAACAUGGAUUAAUACCCCAUAAAGCAGGGGUUCCGCAUGGGACUAUUUGCUAAAGCUACGGUGGCUGAAGAUGGGCAUGCGUCUGAUUAGUUAGUUGGUGAGGUAACGGCUCACCAAGGCGAUGAUCAGUAGGGGUUCUGAGAGGAUGAUCCCCCACACUGGUACUGAGACACGGACCAGACUCCUACGGGAGGCAGCAGUAGGGAAUAUUGGGCAAUGGGCGAGAGCCUGACCCAGCCAUGCCGCGUGCAGGAAGACGGCCUUCUGGGUUGUAAACUGCUUUUAUCAGGGAAGAAAGAGGUGCUGCGGCGCCAGUUGACUGUACCUGAUGAAUAAGCACCGGCUAACUCCGUGCCAGCAGCCGCGGUAAUACGGAGGGUGCAAGCGUUGUCCGGAUUUAUUGGGUUUAAAGGGUGCGUAGGCGGAUUAUUAAGUCAGUGGUGAAAGUCUGCGGCUCAACCGCAGGAGUGCCAUUGAUACUGGUAGUCUUGAGUACAGUAGAGGUAGGCGGAAUUUAUGGUGUAGCGGUGAAAUGCAUAGAUACCAUAAAGAACACCGAUAGCGUAGGCAGCUUACUAUGCUGUAACUGACGCUGAGGCACGAAAGCGUGGGGAUCGAACAGGAUUAGAUA